AGCGAACGCUGGCGGCAGGCCUAACACAUGCAAGUCGAGCGCCCAGCAAUGGGAGCGGCAGACGGGUGAGUAACGCGUGGGGAUCUGCCCAAUGGUACGGAAUAACCCAGGGAAACUUGGACUAAUACCGUAUGUGCCCUUCGGGGGAAAGAUUUAUCGCCAUUGGAUGAACCCGCGUCGGAUUAGCUAGUUGGUGAGGUAAAGGCUCACCAAGGCGACGAUCCGUAGCUGGUCUGAGAGGAUGAUCAGCCACACUGGGACUGAGACACGGCCCAGACUCCUACGGGAGGCAGCAGUGGGGAAUAUUGGACAAUGGGCGCAAGCCUGAUCCAGCCAUGCCGCGUGAGUGAUGAAGGCCUUAGGGUUGUAAAGCUCUUUCACCGGAGAAGAUAAUGACGGUAUUCGGAGAAGAAGCCCCGGCUAACUUCGUGCCAGCCGCCGCGGUAA
Molecule: ribosomal RNA, 447 nt
Filed under: uncultured bacterium
Lineage: Bacteria
Description: partial 16S ribosomal RNA
Rfam family: Bacterial small subunit ribosomal RNA
Source: RNAcentral